RNAcentral lists this ribosomal RNA (674 nucleotides) under uncultured Glomus. Its description in RNAcentral is "SSU rRNA". It matches the Rfam family "Eukaryotic small subunit ribosomal RNA", at positions 421 to 1095 of the family's 1831-position model. The record is from RNAcentral. Lineage: Eukaryota; Fungi; Glomeromycota; Glomeromycetes; Glomerales; Glomeraceae.
GAAGGCAGCAGGCGCGCAAAUUACCCAAUCCCGACACGGGGAGGUAGUGACAAUAAAUAACAAUACAGGGUUCUUUUGGAUCUUGUAAUUGGAAUGAGUACAAUUUAAAUCUCUUAACGAGGAACAAUUGGAGGGCAAGUCUGGUGCCAGCAGCCGCGGUAAUUCCAGCUCCAAUAGCGUAUAUUAAAGUUGUUGCAGUUAAAAAGCUCGUAGUUGAAUUUCGGGAUCAAUAUUUCGGUCAUGCCGUUGGUAUGCACUGUUAUCAUUGAUUUCUCACCUCCUAAAGAACCGUGAUGCCAUUAAUUUGGUGUUACGGGGAAUUAGGACUGUUACCUUGAAAAAAUUAGAGUGUUUAAAGCAGGCUCACGCUUGAAUACAUUAGCAUGGAAUAAUGAAAUAGGACAUCCGAUUCUAUUUUGUUGGUUUCUAGGAUCGAUGUAAUGAUUAAUAGGGAUAGUUGGGGGCAUUAGUAUUCAAUUGUCAGAGGUGAAAUUCUUGGAUUUAUUGAAGACUAACUACUGCGAAAGCAUUUGCCAAGGAUGUUUUCAUUAAUCAAGAACGAAAGUUAGGGGAUCGAAGACGAUCAGAUACCGUCGUAGUCUUAACCAUAAACUAUGCCGACUAGGGAUCGGAUGAUGUUAAUUUUUUAAUGACUCAUUCGGCGCCUUACGGGA